Molecule: ribosomal RNA, 308 nt
Filed under: uncultured bacterium
Lineage: Bacteria
Description: bacterial SSU rRNA
Rfam family: Bacterial small subunit ribosomal RNA
Source: RNAcentral
GACGAACGCUGGCGGCGUGCUUAACACAUGCAAGUCGAACGAUGAAAGAGGAGCUUGCUCCUCUGGAUUAGUGGCGAACGGGUGAGUAACACGUGAGCAAUCUGCCCCUGACUCCGGAAUAACUACGGGAAACUGUAGCUAAUACCGGAUAUGCGCCGAACGGGCAUCUGUAUCGGUGGGAAAGAAUUUCGGUCAGGGAUGAGCUCGCGGCCUAUCAGCUUGUUGGUGAGGUAACGGCUCACCAAGGCGACGACGGGUAGCCGGCCUGAGAGGGUGACCGGCCACAUUGGGACUGAGACACGGCCCAG